UCCAGACUCCUACGGGAGGCAGCAGUGGGGGAUAUUGCACAAUGGGGGGAACCCUGAUGCAGCGACGCCGCGUGGGUGAAGGAGCGUUUCGGCGCGUAAAGCCCUCUCGGCAGGGAAGAAGGAGGACGGUACCUGACUAAGAAGCCCCGGCUAACUACGUGCCAGCAGCCGCGGUAAUACGUAGGGGGCAAGCGUUAUCCGGAUUUACUGGGUGUAAAGGGGGCGCAGACGGCAGCGCAAGCCAGGAGUGAAAGCCCGGGGCCCAACCCCGGGACUGCUCUUGGAACUGCGCGGCUGGAGUGCAGGAGGGGCAGGCGGAAUUCCUGGUGUAGCGGUGAAAUGCGUAGAUAUCAGGAGGAACACCGGUGGCGAAGGCGGCCUGCUGGACUGCAACUGACGUUGAGGCCCGAAAGCGUGGGGAGCAAACAGGAUUAGAUACCCCAGUAC
Molecule: ribosomal RNA, 447 nt
Filed under: uncultured bacterium
Lineage: Bacteria
Description: partial 16S ribosomal RNA
Rfam family: Bacterial small subunit ribosomal RNA
Source: RNAcentral